Molecule: transfer RNA, 72 nt
Filed under: Clostridia bacterium
Lineage: Bacteria; Bacillati; Bacillota; Clostridia
Also listed under: 1 other name
Description: tRNA-Met
Rfam family: tRNA
About the family: Transfer RNA (tRNA) molecules are approximately 80 nucleotides in length. Their secondary structure includes four short double-helical elements and three loops (D, anti-codon, and T loops).
Source: RNAcentral
GGUGCUAUAGCCUAAUGGCAAGGCCAGGGUCCCAUAAACCACUACAUCCCGGUUCGAAUCCGGGUAGCACCU